This 21-nucleotide unclassified non-coding RNA is filed under the name Mus musculus (house mouse). RNAcentral describes it as "oocyte_clustered_small_RNA10055". The record is from RNAcentral. Lineage: Eukaryota; Metazoa; Chordata; Mammalia; Rodentia; Muridae.
UCUAGGACCUCAGUGUUCCAC